This 492-nucleotide ribosomal RNA is filed under the name uncultured bacterium. Its description in RNAcentral is "partial 16S ribosomal RNA". It matches the Rfam family "Bacterial small subunit ribosomal RNA", at positions 30 to 507 of the family's 1533-position model. The record is from RNAcentral.
AUUGAACGCUGGCGGUAUGCCUAACACAUGCAAGUCGAACGGCAGCACAAUAAGAGCUUGCUCUUACGGGUGGCGAGUGGCGGACGUGUGAGGAAUACAUCGGAAUCUACUUUUUCGUGGGGUAUAACGUAGGGAAAUUUACUCUAAUACCACAUACGCCCAGCGUGUUAAAGCAGGGGAGCUUCGGAUCUUGCUCUAUUGAAGGAGCCGAUGUCGGAUUAUCUAGUUGGCGGGGUAAAGGCCCACCAAGGCGACGAUCAGUAGCUGGUCUGAGAGGAUGAUCAGCCACACUGGAACUGAGACACGGUCCAGACUCCUACGGGAGGCAGCAGUGGGGAAUAUUGGACAAUGGGCGCAAGCCUGAUCCAGCCAUACCGCGUGGGUGAAGAAGGCCUUCGGGUUGUAAAGCACUUUUGUUGGGAAAGAAAAGCAGCAGGUUAAUACCCCGCUGUUCUGACGGUACCGAAAGAAUAAGCACCGGCUAACUUCGUG